RNAcentral lists this ribosomal RNA (1346 nucleotides) under uncultured bacterium. RNAcentral describes it as "bacterial SSU rRNA". It matches the Rfam family "Bacterial small subunit ribosomal RNA", at positions 28 to 1381 of the family's 1533-position model. The record is from RNAcentral.
GACGAACCCUUGAGGCGUGCUUAACACAUGCAAGUCGAACGGAAAGGCCCUGCUUUUGUGGGGUGCUCGAGUGGCGAACGGGUGAGUAACACGUGAGUAACCUGCCCUUGACUCUGGGAUAACUUCAGGAAACUGGGGCUAAUACCGGAUAGGAGCUCCUGCUGCAUGGUGGGGGUUGGAAAGUUUCGGCGGUUGGGGAUGGACUCGCGGCUUAUCAGCUCGUUGGUGGGGUAGUGGCUUACCAAGGCUUUGACGGGUAGCCGGCCUGAGAGGGUGACCGGCCACAUUGGGACUGAGAUACGGCCCAGACUCCUACGGGAGGCAGCAGUGGGGAAUAUUGCACAAUGGGCGGAAGCCUGAUGCAGCAACGCCGCGUGCGGGAUGACGGCCUUCGGGUUGUAAACCGCUUUCGCCUGUGACGAAGCGUGAGUGACGGUAAUGGGUAAAGAAGCACCGGCUAACUACGUGCCAGCAGCCGCGGUGAUACGUAGGGUGCGAGCGUUGUCCGGAUUUAUUGGGCGUAAAGGGCUCGUAGGUGGUUGAUCGCGUCGGAAGUGUAAUCUUGGGGCUUAACCCUGAGCGUGCUUUCGAUACGGGUUGACUUGAGGAAGGUAGGGGAGAAUGGAAUUCCUGGUGGAGCGGUGGAAUGCGCAGAUAUCAGGAGGAACACCAGUGGCGAAGGCGGUUCUCUGGGCCUUUCCUGACGCUGAGGAGCGAAAGCGUGGGGAGCGAACAGGCUUAGAUACCCUGGUAGUCCACGCUGUAAACGGUGGGUACUAGGUGUGGGGUCCAUUCCACGGGUUCCGUGCCGUAGCUAACGCUUUAAGUACCCCGCCUGGGGAGUACGGCCGCAAGGCUAAAACUCAAAGGAAUUGACGGGGCCCCGCACAAGCGGCGGAGCAUGCGGAUUAAUUCGAUGCAACGCGUAGAACCUUACCUGGGUUUGACAUGGAUCGGGAGUGCUCAGAGAUGGGUGUGCCUCUUUUGGGGUCGGUUCACAGGUGGUGCAUGGCUGUCGUCAGCUCGUGUCGUGAGAUGUUGGGUUAAGUCCCGCAACGAGCGCAACCCCUGUUCACUGUUGCCAGCACGUUAUGGUGGGGACUCAGUGGAGACCGCCGGGGUCAACUCGGAGGAAGGUGGGGAUGACGUCAAGUCAUCAUGCCCCUUAUGUCCAGGGCUUCACGCAUGCUACAAUGGCUGGUACAGAGAGUGGCGAGCCUGUGAGGGUGAGCGAAUCUCGGAAAGCCGGUCUCAGUUCGGAUUGGGGUCUGCAACUCGACCUCAUGAAGUCGGAGUCGCUAGUAAUCGCAGGUCAGCAACGCUGCGGUGAAUACGUUCCCGGGGCU